CUACGUGCCAGCAGCCGCGGUAAUACGGAAGGUCCAGGCGUUAUCCGGAUUUAUUGGGUUUAAAGGGAGCGUAGGCGGAUUAUUAAGUCAGUGGUGAAAGACGGUGGCUCAACCAUCGUUAGCCAUUGAAACUGGUAGUCUUGAGUGCAGACAGGGAUGCUGGAACUCGUGGUGUAGCGGUGAAAUGCUUAGAUAUCACGAUGAACUCUGAUCGCGAAGGCAGGUGUCCGGGCUGCAACUGACGCUGAGGCUCGAAAGUGUGGGUAUCAAACAGGAUUAGAUACCCUGGUAGUCCACACAGUAAACGAUGUAUACUCGCGGUUUGCGAUAUAUUGUAAGCCGCCAAGCGAAAGCAUUAAGUAUACCACCUGGGGAGUACGCCGGCAACGGUGAAACUCAAAGGAAUUGACGGGGGCCCGCACAAGCGGAGGAACAUGUGGUUUAAUUCGAUGAUACGCGAGGAACCUUACCCGGGCU
Molecule: ribosomal RNA, 477 nt
Filed under: uncultured bacterium
Lineage: Bacteria
Description: bacterial SSU rRNA
Rfam family: Bacterial small subunit ribosomal RNA
Source: RNAcentral